This 449-nucleotide ribosomal RNA is filed under the name uncultured bacterium. RNAcentral describes it as "partial 16S ribosomal RNA". It matches the Rfam family "Bacterial small subunit ribosomal RNA", at positions 30 to 523 of the family's 1533-position model. The record is from RNAcentral.
AUUGAACGCUGGCGGCAUGCCUAACACAUGCAAGUCGAACGAGAUCUUUGGGGCUAGUGGCGCACGGGUGGGGAACGCGUGGGAAUCUGCCCUUUGGUUCGGAAUAACAGUUGGAAACGACUGCUAAUACCGGAUGAUGACGAAAGGCCAAAGAUUUAUCGCCAGAGGAUGAGCCCGCGUAGGAUUAGCUAGUUGGUGUGGUAAAGGCGCACCAAGGCGACGAUCCUUAGCUGGUCUGAGAGGAUGAUCAGCCACACUGGGACUGAGACACGGCCCAGACUCCUACGGGAGGCAGCAGUGGGGAAUAUUGGACAAUGGGCGAAAGCCUGAUCCAGCAAUGCCGCGUGAGUGAUGAAGGCCUUAGGGUUGUAAAGCUCUUUUACCCGGGAUGAUAAUGACAGUACCGGGAGAAUAAGCUCCGGCUAACUCCGUGCCAGCCGCCGCCGUAA